CAGUCGAGCGGUAACAUUUCUAGCUUGCUAGAAGAUGACGAGCGGCGGACGGGUGAGUAAUACUUAGGAAUCUACCUAGUAGUGGGGGAUAGCUCGGGGAAACUCGAAUUAAUACCGCAUACGACCUACGGGAGAAAGGGGGCAACUUGUUGCUCUCGCUAUUAGAUGAGCCUAAGUCGGAUUAGCUAGAUGGUGGGGUAAAGGCCUACCAUGGCGACGAUCUGUAGCUGGUCUGAGAGGAUGAUCAGCCACACCGGGACUGAGACACGGCCCGGACUCCUACGGGAGGCAGCAGUGGGGAAUAUUGGACAAUGGGGGAAACCCUGAUCCAGCCAUGCCGCGUGUGUGAAGAAGGCCUUUUGGUUGUAAAGCACUUUAAGCAGUGAAGAAGACUCUUCGGUUAAUACCCGGAGACGAUGACAUUAGCUGCAGAAUAAGCACCGGCUAACUCUGUGCCAGCAGCCGCGGUAAUACAGAGGGUGCAAGCGUUAAUCGGAAUUACUGGGCGUAAAGCGAGCGUAGGUGGCUUGAUAAGUCAGAUGUGAAAUCCCCGGGCUUAACCUGGGAACUGCAUCUGAUACUGUCAGGCUAGAGUAGGUGAGAGGAAGGUAGAAUUCCAGGUGUAGCGGUGAAAUGCGUAGAGAUCUGGAGGAAUACCGAUGGCGAAGGCAGCCUUCUGGCAUCAUACUGACA
Molecule: ribosomal RNA, 693 nt
Filed under: Psychrobacter sp. Y4_278_1
Lineage: Bacteria; Pseudomonadati; Pseudomonadota; Gammaproteobacteria; Moraxellales; Moraxellaceae
Description: bacterial SSU rRNA
Rfam family: Bacterial small subunit ribosomal RNA
Source: RNAcentral